GACAUAGGAGGCGAGCGUUAUCCGGAUUUAUUGGGCGUAAAGUGCGUUGAGGCGGUUUUGUAAGUUGGACGUGAAAGCUCCCGGCUUAACUGGGAGAGGUCGUUCAAUACUGCAAGGCUAGAGGGCAGUAGAGGGGGGUGGAAUUUCCGGUGUAGUGGUGAAAUGCGUAGAUAUCGGAAGGAACACCAGUGGCGAAGGCGGCCCCCUGGACUGCACCUGACGCUGAAGGCGAAAGCUAGGGUAGCAAACGGGAUUAGAUACCCCUGUA
Molecule: ribosomal RNA, 268 nt
Filed under: uncultured prokaryote
Description: partial 16S ribosomal RNA
Rfam family: Bacterial small subunit ribosomal RNA
Source: RNAcentral